AAAAAUGCAACAAAUUCAUAAUGAUACCCAUAAAUCAUUCUUUUUUUUUCUUCUAGAAAAUCAUCCCAAAAUCCAUAAUUUUACAAACACACAACAACUUCAUCCCAAUAACUCAGAAAAAAAUUCUCAUCUUUUUCCAAAAAUUCAUCCUCGCCUUUAUUGCUAAGUACUUUUUCAUUCAAAACUCCAAAACAUCAAGAACACACAACAACUUCAUCAAAAAAACCGAGAAAAUCAAAUCAAAAACAUAAAAAAUAAAAAUCAAAGAGGAUAUUUAACCCAGAAAAUAAAAGAGAUAACAAAAAUUUACAGUAUAUAAACAUUCCUGCAUAAAAGAAAAGAUUUUACAAAAAUGAGUAUAAACAAAAUCAAAAAAAUUAAAAAUUCAAAUACAAAAUCAAAUGAGCUUGAUGAUAUACCUUAGAUUUGUUAUUGCCUUCGCAUCCAAAAUGUCAUCCAUUAUAUUUUUUAGAUCCGAAGAAGAAAAUAGAAGAAAUACAAAGAUAUGAGCUUCAAUCUAUGAAAUAUCAAACUAAUUUAAAAUUUUGAAAGUGAAAGAGAUAAAAAUUCGCAAGAAAGCCUAUACACAAAAAGUUUAACUAACACCAAAGAAGAUAAAGUUGGAACACUUAAACCAUACCUUUUGUUUAAGAAAUAUUAAACCUCAAGAACAAAAGUCCACACCUUAAACAUUUAGAUCUCUUCAACCUGACAAAAUAAAAGGGGGGAAUAUAUGUCAAAAAGAGAUAUGAAUAAGGGUUGAAGAGAUAUGGAUUUUCAUUAGCCUAUGAAUCUGUUAAUAUUUUAAAAUUUAAGAGAUACGGUAUGGAUUAGGGUUGAAGAAGACUAAUUUGAGGAUUAAAAAAAUUGGGAGAAAAGUGAAGAGAGAGAGAGAGAGAGUUGUAAAUUUAGGAAAGAGAAUGAGAGAGUUUAAUAGACCAAAGAAGCAAUUUUUACUUUGGAAAUAUAUCAGUAGUAGGGAGUUGCAGAAAAUGAAACGGUGCAUGUGGUGGAUUAAAGAAGCUGACGUGGAGGGUUGUUGAAGUUGAAGGGCAGAUGAGUAAUUUACAAAACAUAUUAUCUUCUUAUAUGAUACAUUAGCAAGUUAAUAAAUAAAUU
Molecule: long non-coding RNA, 1119 nt
Filed under: Lathyrus oleraceus (garden pea)
Lineage: Eukaryota; Viridiplantae; Streptophyta; Magnoliopsida; Fabales; Fabaceae
Description: Pisum sativum (pea) long non-coding RNA (PSAT_LNC036037)
Source: RNAcentral